Molecule: ribosomal RNA, 460 nt
Filed under: uncultured bacterium
Lineage: Bacteria
Description: partial 16S ribosomal RNA
Rfam family: Bacterial small subunit ribosomal RNA
Source: RNAcentral
CCUACGGGUGGCAGCAGUGAGGAAUAUUGGUCAAUGGGCGCGAGCCUGAACUAGCCAAGUAGCGUGAAGGAUGACUGCCCUACGGUUUGUACACUUCUUUUAUAAAGGACUAAAGUGCGGCACGUGUGCCUUUUUGUAUGUACUUUAUGAAUAAGGAUCGGCUAACUCCGUUCCAGCAGCCGCGGUACUACGGAGGAUCCGAGCGUUAUCCGGAUUUAUUGGGUUUAAAGGGAGCGUAGCUGAUUUGUUAAGUCAGUUGUGAAAGUUUGCGGCUUAACCGUAAAAUUGCAAUUGAUACUGGCAGCGUAGAGUACAGUUGAGGUAGGCGGAAUGCGUGGUGUAGCGGUGAAAUGCUGAGAUAUCACGAAGAACUCCGAGUGCGAAGGCAGCCUACUAAACUGCCACUGACAUUGAUGCUCGAAAGUGUGGGUAGCAAACAGGAUUAGAUACCCUUGUAGUC